CAGGUUGGCUAUAUACUUUUUCAUUUGUUAUUAGACACUUUAUGUUCCUCCAUGACUUUUCAUGACUUGAUAGCCCAUUUCUUUUUAGCUCUGAAUAAGACGCCAUUGUCUAGAUGUACCUCAAAGACAUGUUUUAUUACAAGAAGAAAUACAGAAUAAAAGACACUGAUGAUCAUAUACCAAUUAAUAAUGCUUAAUAUUUGUUGACAAAUUUCAUGUUCUAAGUGCUUGAGGGUUUAGGUAGAAAAAUGUGUGUUACUAUUGGACUUUCCUCAUGACACCAAUUUUAGAUUUGUUUUAUAAUUUUUUAAAACCUAGCUUGUUGUGUUUGGUAAUUGAGAGACUAGGUAUUUGGUGAAGUCAAAGUUUGUAGCUAGGUUCUUCCUAAUUGCAAAGCUUAUGCUUAUAGUCAGUUCACCAUAUACAUUGUAAAAAAAAUACGAUUUAAUGAGCAAGUUAGACUUGUAGAUGAGACAAGUAAAUGGAAUGAAUAAUGACUGUCUUA
Molecule: long non-coding RNA, 505 nt
Filed under: Pan troglodytes (chimpanzee)
Lineage: Eukaryota; Metazoa; Chordata; Mammalia; Primates; Hominidae
Description: long non-coding RNA NONPTRT004298
Source: RNAcentral